UACGAAGGGGGCUAGCGUUGCUCGGAAUCACUGGGCGUAAAGCGCACGUAGGCGGACUCUUAAGUCGGUGGUGAAAUCCUGGAGCUCAACUCCAGAACUGCCUUCGAUACUGGGAGUCUCGAGUCCGGGAGAGGUGAGUGGAACUGCGAGUGUAGAGGUGAAAUUCGUAGAUAUGACGCAGAACACCAAUUGCGAAGGCAGCUUGCUACACUGUUAUUGACACUGAGGCACGAAAGCGUGGGGAUCAAACAGG
Molecule: ribosomal RNA, 253 nt
Filed under: uncultured bacterium
Lineage: Bacteria
Description: partial 16S ribosomal RNA
Rfam family: Bacterial small subunit ribosomal RNA
Source: RNAcentral